GACGAACGCUGGCGGCGUGCUUAACACAUGCCAGUCGAACGGAAAGGCCCUGCUUGCCGGGUACUCGAGUGGCGAACGGGUGAGUAACAUGUGGGUGAUCUGCCCUGCACUUCGGGAUAAGCCUGGGAAACUGGGUCUAAUACCGGAUAGGAGCCAUUUUUAGUGUGAUGGUUGGAAAGUUUUUUCGGUGUAGGAUGAGCUCGCGGCCUAUCAGCUUGUUGGUGGGGUAAUGGCCUACCAAGGCGGCGACGGGUAGCCGGCCUGAGAGGGUGGACGGCCACAUUGGGACUGAGAUACGGCCCAGACUCCUACGGGAGGCAGCAGUGGGGAAUAUUGCACAAUGGGCGCAAGCCUGAUGCAGCGACGCCGCGUGGGGGAUGACGGCCUUCGGGUUGUAAACUCCUUUCGCUAGGGACGAAGCUUUUUGUGACGGUACCUAGAGAAGAAGCACCGGCUAACUACGUG
RNAcentral lists this ribosomal RNA (465 nucleotides) under uncultured bacterium. Its description in RNAcentral is "partial 16S ribosomal RNA". It matches the Rfam family "Bacterial small subunit ribosomal RNA", at positions 28 to 507 of the family's 1533-position model. The record is from RNAcentral.